This is a non-coding RNA of Pelobates cultripes (western spadefoot toad), 215 nucleotides long. The record is from the annotation of a GenBank genome assembly. NCBI's taxonomy places the organism in Eukaryota, Metazoa, Chordata, Amphibia, Anura, Pelobatidae.
CUGCUCCUCUGAGCCAUCUCUACAUUUAUCUCCUUUUCUUUUCCAAAUUCUCCCAUCCCAGGGCAGAUUUAUCACAGCCUGGAAUAGUUAUUUUGCUGCAUUAAUCUCUGCAUUAUAGCUAUCAGAACUUGCUUAUUUCAUUGUGAUAAAAAGGCUUUAAACUUGAUAAAGGGAGGAACUCCCAAAAGCUUGUCACUACAAAUUUCUGUUAGUCC